RNAcentral lists this ribosomal RNA (253 nucleotides) under uncultured bacterium. RNAcentral describes it as "partial 16S ribosomal RNA". It matches the Rfam family "Bacterial small subunit ribosomal RNA", at positions 524 to 776 of the family's 1533-position model. The record is from RNAcentral.
UACGUAGGAGGCAAGCGUUAUCCGGAUUUACUGGGUGUAAAGGGGGCGCAGACGGCAAUGCAAGCCAGGAGUGAAAGCCCGGGGCCCAACCCCGGGACUGCUCUUGGAACUGCAUGGCUGGAGUACAGGAGGGGCAGGCGGAAUUCCUAGUGUAGCGGUGAAAUGCGUAGAUAUUAGGAGGAACACCGGUGGCGAAGGCGGCCUGCUGGACUGUGACUGACGUUGAGGCCCGAAGGCGUGGGGAGCAAACAGG